This 836-nucleotide ribosomal RNA is filed under the name Lasiodiplodia theobromae. RNAcentral describes it as "eukaryotic LSU rRNA". The stretch from base 502 to 655 matches the Rfam family "5.8S ribosomal RNA". Lineage: Eukaryota; Fungi; Ascomycota; Dothideomycetes; Botryosphaeriales; Botryosphaeriaceae. The record is from RNAcentral.
GAUCCCCUGCGAUCGAAUCAGGUCCGGAACUAGUUCAAGCGUUCUAUCGUGAGUACCACGUAGUUUGGCUCCUGAGCUCAUACAGCAGCUAGGUGAUGCCUGACGCUGCCCCGGAAUACAAGGCCAUGGCGUCAAGUUGAUAUCCAUGAUUCGAUUCACAUACUAUCGCAUUGCGCGCUUUCUAUGAUGCAGACCAAAGCUCGUGUGAAAGUUUUAGUUAUAACUGUUAUCAGAGUCUGCGUUACUGACGAGUUGAAGUCCUUUGCGCGAGCCGCCAAAGCAAAGAGGUACGUUCACAAAGGGGAGAGUCGAGCCGAGCUCGAAAACUCGUACUUCCGUAGGGUAACCUGCGGAAGGAUCAUUACCGAGUUUUCGAGCUCCGGCUCGACUCUCCCACCCUUUGUGAACGUACCUCUGUUGCUUUGGCGGCUCCGGCCGCCAAAGGACCUUCAAACUCCAGUCAGUAAACGCAGACGUCUGAUAAACAAGUUAAUAAACUAAAACUUUCAACAACGGAUCUCUUGGUUCUGGCAUCGAUGAAGAACGCAGCGAAAUGCGAUAAGUAAUGUGAAUUGCAGAAUUCAGUGAAUCAUCGAAUCUUUGAACGCACAUUGCGCCCCUUGGUAUUCCGGGGGGCAUGCCUGUUCGAGCGUCAUUACAACCCUCAAGCUCUGCUUGGAAUUGGGCACCGUCCUCACUGCGGACGCGCCUCAAAGACCUCGGCGGUGGCUGUUCAGCCCUCAAGCGUAGUAGAAUACACCUCGCUUUGGAGCGGUUGGCGUCGCCCGCCGGACGAACCUUCUGAACUUUCUCAAGGUGACCUCGAUCAGUAGUGC